This 4156-nucleotide long non-coding RNA is filed under the name Octopus vulgaris (common octopus). Lineage: Eukaryota; Metazoa; Mollusca; Cephalopoda; Octopoda; Octopodidae. The record is from RNAcentral.
GUCAUCUUCCCCUCUAAGAAAUUAAAAAAAAAACUUUAAAAAUUAUUUAUGCAAGUUUGAGUAGAAAUUUAUAGGGGGCAAACUGGCAGAAGACAAAUGUUAAUAAACAUUUGUUAUUGCUACAGUGAGCUUGGUUUUUCUUUCUCUCUCUUAGCCGUAUGUAAUUUAUUUCUAUCGACAAAACGACGCAGUGAUUAAAACUAACUCUACACACAGGCUUACACUGUCUAUCAAUAUUUCACUUUCACUGUCUUUCUCUCUCUCUCUCUCUCUCUCACACACACACACAUUGAUAUUCAGACUUUCUGUCCCUCUCGCACAUGCUCUGUAUUUCUCUCUCUCUCUCUUUCUCUCUCUCUCGAACACACAUACUAUCUCUUUCUCACUCCCAUACAUUGCCACUUACCGAUUUCUCUCUCUCUUUCACAAACAUAACACGAACUCACCAUACUAUACAGACUUUUACACACAACAUAUAGAAACCAAAGGGAAACAUAAUGCGGUCUGCGACGGAGUAAAAGCAACAAGAAGCAAUGAGUUCUCCCUGUGUGUGUACUUAAAAUGGCUGACUUGACGGAGAAAUGUUAAUUUUGAGAAACAGGUAGGCAUCUUUAUUUUUGCCGCUCUCUGUGUUGAUGUCAUAUGUUGUUAAUGGCCGGGUAGGUGUGUCUGUGUAUAAUAUCUGCGUUUAUCUGUCUAUGCGUGUGUGUGUGUGUGUUGAGUAUGUGUUUUCCUCUGUGUUAAUAGUGCAUUUGAUAUAUUAUCUAAACGUCAUUGUUGAUUGUUAGCGACGAAUGAAUGAGUGAAUGAAUGGAAGAAUAAAAAAAAAAAAAAAAUAGAGGAAGUUGGUACAUCCCGAAUCUUGACGACCACGACAACGUAAACACACAUAAACACGGCAACACUAUCUCACCCGUUGCACUCUGACAGCUCGACACCCCACCCCCCUCUGCUCAACACAUUUUCUUUCUUGAAUAUCGUGGAUUUGAAACUGCGGUUAUUGAAAAUCAUGUUAUGUCGAGCCAGUUCACACACACACACAUAUAUGCAUACGUGUGUAUAUAUAUAUAUAUAUAUAUAUAUAUAUGUAUGUGUGUGUGUGUGUAAAUAUGCAUAUAGACAUACGUACACUGGCAGAAUAUGAGCUAAGUUUGCUAUUCCGUGUAUUUUUAACAGGGAAUUAAAAUAAAACUAUGUCAGCAAAGGGAUAGACAGCUAAUAUAAUAAUGUACGGUCCUCAAAUUACUGACAUUAAAAUAGUUGAAAAGCGUUUUGUUUAUAAUUAUAUAUGUAUUCCCAAAGCACCAAUUAGUUAUGUGAAAAGUGUAUAUUCAUUCGUUGACGUGGUUUUUAAUUUCCUCGGUCAAAAUAUACGAUUAACCUAUUAUUUAAACGUUUCUUCCUUUAUUUCUUCUUUUCAUCAUACAUCGAACAACGUUGCUUUUGUUUAUUAAUUGUCGUCGUCAUCAUCAUCGUUGUUCGUCGUCUUCCGUGUUUUAUCCUUGUCAUCUUUUUUAUUUUUAUAUUGUAUGCAUCUAUUUUUUCUCUAAUACGUAACCACCUCCGUUUUUGUUUAUAUAAAGUCUACUCUGAAUACUUGUAACUUUACCACUUUAUCAGACUCUUCAUAAAACAACUUAAUGGCCGAAGAAGACUAGCGUAAUAGACACACCACACCACACAUACAUACACCCUUGCGGGUGCUGUGUACACACCUACAUUUUUAUAAUCGACUUCAGCUAAUAUAUAUACUUACAUAUAUAGAUAGCAAUUAUAUGUAUUGUGUAUACACAACCAUAGACUCGAAGGCGCAUGCACACAUUACAGGCAAACAUGGUUAUUCUCAUAAAGUACAUAGAAACAUUACAUACUAUUCACUUACUAGAAUGAAAUAGCAACAGCUGAUAAACUGAACACUUAAACCAUGUGCUUGUUUAUACAUCUAUAACACUCUCCCUCCUUCAAGAAUAUAGUUUAUAUAUAUGUAUACACACACACACGUGCAUGUAUUUCUUCCUCUGUAUUUAAGUUUUUCCUCUACGUUUCUCUUUUCUUCGUUCUCUCUGUAUACUAAGUGUGUGCGAGUGCGAGUUUCUCUCUCUCUUUCUACGUAGCUUCCUGUGUCCGAAUAUCGGUAACGUAAAACUCGGAGUAACGCUUUGUGAAGUUUCCAGCCUUUAUUAUACAUACAUAUAUAUAUAAUUUGUGUUCAUGUCUGUAUAGAGCGAAUGGUAUGUGGAAAAAAACAACAAAAAACUUCAGAACAUAAACUGUUCUUGUUCGGAUCUUUUUCAUCCGGAACCAUAGUGACCAGUUUCGAUUUGGAUACGAGGAUUUGUUAAUCGUUUAAUUGGCUUAAAUAUUUAUAACUCACCAAUGAAGAUAUUUUCAUUUCUUUUUGUAUUGUUUUUGUAGUAAUUUUUUUAGUUUUUUCUUAUGGGAUAUUUUAUCAAUUGAUUUUUUUUUAAAGCCAAAAUGGGUUAGUGCUAAGUUUUGGCCACGAAAGCUUAAAAUAUAGCAUUAUUGAAGUAUUAAAAAAAUUUCUGAUUUUUUUUUUUUUUUAAUAACACUUAUUUUGGUACGGAAAAAUAUUUCCAAUCAUUCGAAUUCAUUAAAAAUAAAAUUAAAAAUAGCUGGAACCUGUUAUUUGUUCACCCCCGUUGGAUGGAGAAUUAUUACGCAACAGUUGGUAAUAAUUUUAUUACGAAAACAUUUUUAAUACGGAAAAGAAAAAAAAUUCUCAAUCAUUCGGGUUUGUAAAACAUCUUGUAGGUAGGUAAACCUCUUGACGUUUUAUUACAAAAACUUAAACUCUUAAUUUUUUGUUGUUGUUGCUAUCGUUUGUAUAUAUGAAAUAAUUUAAAAUUUCUCGCGCGAUUGUAUUUCCAAUGGAUAUUAUAACACCGAACCAUGAAAUAAAUAACGAAGAAAGUGAAUGAAUCAAAUUGUAUGUAUGUAUGAAUGAAUGAACGAAUGAAUGAAUGAAUGUCAGGAAGUUAUUACCAAUUACGAAAUACUUAAUUUCGGUGUUUUUUUUUUUAGUUUUUUUUUCUUUUGUUUUCAUGUGACAGUAAAUGAAAAAUAUUGCUAUUUCAAAUUUUCCAAGUAAUUUUUUAAAGUUUGACCUAAAAGAAAGUACAAGAGACUUUUUAUACGUAUAUGAGUCAUUCUCUAAGUACAUUCUUUAUAAAAAGCUCGAAAAAUUUGUACCGGUAUCUUUACCACGACCACAACCACCAUUUUUGUAAUUAUUAUUAUUAUUGUUUUUGUUAAGGUGGUGAGCUUAGCAGAAUCGUUAGCGCACUGGGCAAAAAUUGCAUAAUAGCGUUUUGUCUGUCUUUACUUUCUGAGUUCAAUUUCUGCCGAGGUCAACUUUGCCUUCCAUCCCUUUCGGGGUCGAUAAAAUAAGUACCAGUCGAGAACCAGAGUUGAUGUAAUCGACUAGUCACCUACCCCAAAAUUCUGUCUAUAGUAGAAAAGAUUUUUAUUAUUGUGAUUGUAUUUACAAACUAUAUUUAAUUAUUUUUAUGUUUACAAACCCAAACAAACUUCUGUAGUUAACCAUUGCUUUUUGCUUCUUAAUAUGUGCAUGUGCUCUUGUUAUUGUUGUAUGUUCAAGGUUGGUCAGUCAUCUUGCAGAUUUAUAAUUAAAAAAAGGCUCUUCAACCGUAAUCAUUCCGUCUGUAUAUUUUUUUAGACAUAAUCUUUCUUAGGACUUCAUUAUCAAACGUCUUUUUUUUUUUUUUCAAGACGGUAUGAUAUAAAUUUGAGACUAACCUCCUAAUUCUUAUGUUGAGCGAAUGAGUGACUUGUGUUCUUAUGCGUAUUUAAAAUUGUGGAUGAAUCAGAUAGCUAUUGUAUUAGAUAAAUUGAUAGAACACCAUGUCCACCCACAGUCCCACAGGUGUGCGUGUGUGGCGGGAAACGACAUUAACUUGACAAUAUGGUCCCUCUUUUCCGUUUGUUUAUUUUUCAUUAUUUUUCUUGUUCCUACUUUUAAACGAGCCCCGUCAAUCAAAACCUUAAAUUGAAAAUUUCACUUUUCACUUAGUCCCGAAAGAUAACUGGUCCUUUGUUUAUUUUUAUUUUCCUUGAAAAUAUUUUGAACGAGAAACAGUUUUAAAAAUGAGUAAAUAAAAAUUUAGGAUUACGUUUC